AACGCACCUUGCGCCCCUUGGUAUUCUGAGGGGCACGCCCGUUUGAGUGUCGUGAAUAUCCUCAACCUUUCUUGGUUUCUUAACUGAGGAAGGCUUGGACUUUGGAGGUUUUUGUUUUUUUUUUGCUGGCCUUCCUUUGAAGCCCAGCUCCUCCUAAAUGAAUCAGUGGGGUCCGCUUUGCCGAUCCUUGACGUGAUAAGUAUGCUUCUACGUCUUGGGUUUCGCACUGUUGUCUCGGAACCUGCUUCCAACCGUCUUUAAAGGAAGACAAUGUUCGAGUUACCACUCGACCUUACAAACCUUGACCUCAAAUCGGGUGAGACUACCCGCUGAACUUAA
Molecule: unclassified non-coding RNA, 339 nt
Filed under: uncultured Russulales
Lineage: Eukaryota; Fungi; Basidiomycota; Agaricomycetes; Agaricales
Description: sequence contains 5.8S rRNA gene, ITS2, 28S rRNA gene
Source: RNAcentral